This 394-nucleotide ribosomal RNA is filed under the name uncultured Anaeromyxobacter sp. Its description in RNAcentral is "bacterial SSU rRNA". It matches the Rfam family "Bacterial small subunit ribosomal RNA", at positions 67 to 447 of the family's 1533-position model. Lineage: Bacteria; Pseudomonadati; Myxococcota; Myxococcia; Myxococcales; Anaeromyxobacteraceae. The record is from RNAcentral.
CGAGAAAGCCCGCAAGGGUGAGUAAAGCGGCGCACGGGUGCGUAACACGUGGGUAAUCUGCCCUAGAGUCCGGAAUAACUCGCCGAAAGGCGUGCUAAUGCCGGAUGAGACCACGGGAGCCUCGGCUCCUGCGGGAAAAGGUGGCCUCUGUACACAAGCUAUCGCUCUAGGAUGAGCCCGCGGCCCAUCAGCUCGUUGGCGGGGUAAUGGCCCACCAAGGCUACGACGGGUAGCUGGUCUGAGAGGACGAUCAGCCACACUGGAACUGAGACACGGUCCAGACUCCUACGGGGGGCAGCAGUGGGGAAUCUUGCGCAAUGGGCGAAAGCCUGACGCAGCAACGCCGCGUGUGUGAUGAAGGUCUUCGGAUCGUAAAGCACUGUCGCGAGGGACG